CGCUGGCGGCGUGCUUUAACACAUGCAAGUCGAACGAGAAAGUGGAGCAAUCCAUGAGUAAAGUGGCGACCGGGUGAGUAACACGUGACUAACCUACCCUCGAGUGGGGAAUAACAUCGGGAAACCGAUGCUAAUACCGCAUAACAUCGCAAGAUCAAAGCAGCAAUGCGCUUGAGGAGGGGGUCGCGGCUGAUUAGCUAGUUGGUAGGGUAAUGGCCUACCAAGGCUUAGAUCGGUAGCCGGCCUGAGAGGGCGCACGGCCACACUGGAACUGAAACACGGUCCAGACUCCUACGGGAGGCAGCAGUGGGGAAUUUUGCGCAAUGGGGGAAACCCUGACGCAGCAACGCCGCGUGGAGGAUGAAGUCCCUUGGGACGUAAACUCCUUUCGAUCGGGAAGAUACUGACGGUACCGGAAGAAGAAGCACCGGCUAACUCUGUGCCAGCAGCCGCGGUAAUACNAGCCGAAUUCCAGCA
RNAcentral lists this ribosomal RNA (477 nucleotides) under uncultured bacterium. RNAcentral's name for it is "bacterial SSU rRNA". It matches the Rfam family "Bacterial small subunit ribosomal RNA", at positions 35 to 539 of the family's 1533-position model. The record is from RNAcentral.